This 499-nucleotide ribosomal RNA is filed under the name uncultured Glomeromycotina. Its description in RNAcentral is "partial small subunit ribosomal RNA". It matches the Rfam family "Eukaryotic small subunit ribosomal RNA", at positions 591 to 1092 of the family's 1831-position model. The record is from RNAcentral. Lineage: Eukaryota; Fungi; Glomeromycota.
CCAAUAGCGUAUAUUAAAGUUGCUGCAGUUAAAAAGCUCGUAGUUGAAUUUCGGGACCAAUAUGUCGGUCGUGCCUCGGUACGUACUGGCAUCAUUGGUUUCUCCCUUCUGACGAACCAUGAUGUCAUUUAUUUGGUGUCGUGGGGAAUCAGGACUGUUACUUUGAAAAAAUUAGAGUGUUUAAAGCAGGCUCACGCUUGAAUACAUUAGCAUGGAAUAAUGAAAUAGGACGUUUGAUUCUAUUUUGUUGGUUUCUAGGAUCGACGUAAUGAUUAAUAGGGAUAGUUGGGGGCAUUAGUAUUCAAUUGUCAGAGGUGAAAUUCUUGGAUUUAUUGAAGACUAACUACUGCGAAAGCAUUUGCCAAGGAUGUUUUCAUUAAUCAAGAACGAAAGUUAGGGGAUCGAAGACGAUCAGAUACCGUCGUAGUCUUAACCAUAAACUAUGCCGACUAGGGAUCGGAUGAUGUUAAUUUUUUAAUGACUCAUUCGGCGCCUUACG